This 495-nucleotide ribosomal RNA is filed under the name uncultured bacterium. Its description in RNAcentral is "partial 16S ribosomal RNA". It matches the Rfam family "Bacterial small subunit ribosomal RNA", at positions 28 to 505 of the family's 1533-position model. The record is from RNAcentral.
GAUGAACGCUGGCGGCGUGCCUAAUACAUGCAAGUCGAGCGAACGGACGAGAAGCUUGCUUCUCUGAUGUUAGCGGCGGACGGGUGAGUAACACGUGGAUAACCUACCUAUAAGACUGGGAUAACUUCGGGAAACCGUAGCUAAUACCGGAUAAUAUUUUGAACCGCAUGGUUCAAAAGUGAAAGACGGUCUUGCUGUCACUUAUAGAUGGAUCCGCGCUGCAUUAGCUAGUUGGUAAGGUAACGGCUUACCAAGGCAACGAUGCAUAGCCGACCUGAGAGGGUGAUCGGCCAUGCUGGAACUGAGACCCGAUCCAGACCCCUACGGGAGGCAGCAGUAGGGAAUCUUCCGCAAUGGGCGAAAGCCUGACGGAGCAACGCCGCGUGAGUGAUGAAGGUCUUCGGAGCGUAAAACUCUGUUAUUAGGGAAGAACAUAUGUGUAAGUAACUGUGCACAUCUGGACGGUACCUAAUCAGAAAGCCCCGGCUAACUACG